GGCUCAAGGUGGUCACAUCCGCAUUGAUCGCCGAGCGGGCAGAUCGAAUAGCGCUGGACAGGGAGAUUAAGCGGCGGACAUCCCUUUUCCAGGCUGAUAGAGUGAGGCUACAGGCAUACGCUCGGGCAGAUGCAUCACGCAGUGAACUCGUCCGACUGCUCGAAACAUCACAACAACGAGGUAUGAUGCAGUGUCGGCAUGCGUGAGUAGUGUAGGCUGGCGUGCACGUACACAUGCCUUGACUUGUGUGUGGACAUCGAUUGACAUUCAGGACUCGUUGACGGCACAAUUCAACAGUUGCUGCGGGGUAUCAUCCGGGGUCUCAGCGUCAAAGGACAACAACGCCAGCCGGAGGAGGUAGCUUUUUACAUUGCCCCUUGCAGUGACGUGGGUGUCCGUGCUCCAACCCGUCGUGCUGACUAUUGACCAAAUGCACAUUGGCUGGCGCCUAAGGUACGCGGGCCUCCUGUGGGGUACAUUAAAAGCCAGGAGCAUGGCCAUGCGUUCACGGGCGAAUGACUGGUACCAAAUAGGAUCAGCAAUGUCGACACUGUAACAUGUGCUGCAGGCGCCAGCUCAUCAACCCCCGGAAGAUGAUGAUGAUCGGGCCAUACCUCAUCAGCUUCCCUGCACUGCGCGCGCUGAGCAAGCGCAUGCCCCAUGUCAACAUCUCGUCCCAGGAUCUCAACUACAAGGACAAACAGAACCAGCGCGCCACUCUCAAGUAGGCUCUAUCCAACCUGGAAUUAGGUACAGACUGGUUUGUGGCUGACUUACCGCCAUUCACUGACAGACAGGUUGGCCGACCUUGACAUGGAUCCCUCAACUGGAAGCGUCAAGGCAGUCAGUGUGCUGCGUGACGCACUGGAGACAGGUUCACACAAUCCGGUUGGCGGUGAUGGUCCUAUCGUUGACGGCUCGUAUUAUGCUACCUUCCUCUAUGUGACGUUCAUGCAUUAUUUAGUAGCUGGCCGCUGAAAAGGCCUCUCGAGAUGCUGGUGGUCGUGCUAUGCGUGUACCAGCUUACCGUGCUUACUGUGUACCAGCUACUACAGCUACAUUGUGCCGGGCCACACUACUGCAGGGCAGGCGCGUGUGCUUACAUUUCUUUGUCUGCGUGAAUGAUUGGAUGUAUGAAUGAAUGGACGAAUGAAAGGUGUGGUUAACAUGCCCCUGGUUUGGUUCGGUUCGGGUGGUGGUAUCUUUUUGAACACAUGUAGUCUGGUCGAGUGCCGGGGGCCCUUAGCAGGACUGAAGCACAGUUCAAGACGAGGCGUGUGGAUAUGUCUGCUUGUCUGAACGAAGGAAUGAAUGAAUGAAUAGACCGGGUGUUAAAAUUGUGAGCGACUUGCCAUGCAGACACACCUUUGGUUCUGGUCGGUUCGGGUGAUGGUAACUUUCACACAUACACACACAAUGAAUGUAUGGGUGAAUGAGUACGGA
This 1443-nucleotide long non-coding RNA is filed under the name Volvox carteri. Its description in RNAcentral is "long non-coding RNA (VCAR_LNC003238)". Lineage: Eukaryota; Viridiplantae; Chlorophyta; Chlorophyceae; Chlamydomonadales; Volvocaceae. The record is from RNAcentral.